This 2431-nucleotide long non-coding RNA is filed under the name Toxoplasma gondii VEG. Lineage: Eukaryota; Apicomplexa; Conoidasida; Eucoccidiorida; Sarcocystidae. The record is from RNAcentral.
CAAAUAUGAAACGGGUUCGGGGCUGUGAAACACUUCCGAAAAACUCCACCUGUAGCGGUGGCUGAUUUGCCACAUUGAAGACAAAGUCUACGUUUACAUACCUCUCCGUUGUGCAUUCGCAAACAGUAUGUCAGCGACGCCUAUCGAUACAGAGGAAAGAGGAACGGUGUGACGCGUGCGCAUGAACUGAACAGCAGCGGACUCGCUGGAAUCUGUCAGAAGAAAAAAGCACAGUUCUCCCUGUUGUAUCCGCAGCGGACUAGAGAGGCAAUGGGAUCGAGUGGCAAACGGUGCAACUCAAAUAAUACAGUCACCGACCCCCUGCAUAUUUGGGCGGGUGGUAUAACCCAGCACGAACAACAACCAGGCUCCUUAUGCUCCCUGUAUACCUCUUCGCUGGACCGCUCAAGACAUAUACCAGUGUUGGAUCUCAAUAUCCUACAACACUGAGGUCGCUCCUGGCGCGGAGUUCGCCGAAGGUGUCGAUGAAAUGGUGUCACGCAGCUUUUUCGAGCUGGACUCUGCGUGCAAAACCAUCACUGCGAACAAACGAUCUGAGGACACGGAGGUUGCCGUGGCAUCUGUGUUCCUGUCGGUUCUUCCCUCAGUGCUCAUGGUCUUCGAAUUUCUGCGGCGGCUUGCGACAGAUUCGAUUUAAACUGAGUUCCUUCCCCAUAUCCCCCAUGGCUCUUCUCUCAGUAACCCUGAGGCAACCUGGGAGCGAGAUAUGCCAAGACCACCGUCAUUCCAGAAUUCACUGUUCCGGACUAGAUCGUUCCGAUCCGGCUUCCUCUGGGCUAGCUUCCUUCGAUAUGGUUUCCUCAGGGGUAGUUUGCUUUGGCGUUGCUUCUGCACUUCGCGCGUCUGUGGUGGGCUGCAUGAUGUCGAAGACGACAUCUACCUCGAGAGAUGGGCUCCCCAGGCGAGUUUUGUGGAGCAAUUUUUCCGCACUGUCAACGAGGCGCUCCUCGAUGCCUCCCUCAGUCUUGAUGAUAAGCUGGAUACGGGGAAUCUCCUUGUUUAGCUUGUCCAACUUUGCACGCCGCUGCGACCCAGAGAGCAGCAUUUCUUGAACGACACGCUGAGCCUUGAUAACGUCCAUGAGGAUACCAAGUUGAUCGUGAAUUUCGGCGCCCAUCUCCCGCAGAGAAGUCACCAUCAACUUCAUGAUUUUCAUCUGGUCUUCUCGCGACGGCGCCGUCGCCACUGCCCCUCGCGCGCGCCGCAGUAGGUUUCCUCGGGACUUUUUCAACUCUGCAAUCUUCAACUCGGCCCAGUGCCUCCGCAAGGAAAGCUCGAGGUUGGCGGCCGCAGGCGUAGGCGGGGACAAAGUACUGAGUUCUUGCUCAUCCAUGCUCGUGGUAAUGGACUGCUGGAGCAAGCGCCGAUCCUCCUGGCUGUCGAAAUAUGCGGUAAAAAACUCGAUGCUCUGCAGCGGCCCCUGCCGCUCGCGGACUUGCCGCAUAGCACUAACAACCCUGAACAUGCGAAUGGCGUUUGUCAGGCGCCGGAGCGGCGCCACAACGAGAUUCAGGAGUGUCAAGGCGACGAUGACCACCUCCGCUGGAGUUGUCAGGCCGACGAGGCUGAAGGGAACAGUGGACCUCUCGAGGAUUUUUCGCGUGCGUACCAGCUGCUUCGACAGGUUUCCGUAAGUCUGGGCACGUCCCUCUGGAGUUCCGACUUGCCGCAAUAAAUCACCCAGAACUCCCGGAUUCUUCAGAGUGGCAUCAUAGAGGGCUGGCCCAUACUGUUGGGUUGCGUACGCGGCCGCUGCGACAGCAACCAAUACCGCGACGGCGAACAUCUGGUGCUUUCGCCUCCGGCCUCCGGUAGCCUCAGCCCGUCGUUUCUCAUUGUCCGCUUGAAGAACUGCAAGAAGACUACCGCGAUUUUCCUCGGGAAAAAGGAGAGUAUAGAGAUCCUGCUCCGUAAGCUGCUGGCUUUCGCUUUCCUCGGCGAUCUCGGCUGUGGCCGACUUGAGGGUUGAAGUUUUCCUAUUGAGCACACGGCUGAGCGAGAGACUAAGAAUGACGGCGAGCACCGGCACUAGAAAGAGCACACCAGCAGAGGCAAUUUCAUAUGUGGUGAUGGCCUUCCUGUCUUGCCGUCUCCUCUUGACCUGCGUCACUCGGGCGAGUUGCACCUCGGCCCCGUCUUGUGGCUGCUGCACUUUGUUGUCGACGUCAGUAAGUGUGCUGACACUUUCUGCUGGGGGAUUGGAAGUGGUUGUGUAGCUGACAUUUUCUGCUGGGGGAUUGGAAGUGGUUGUGUAGCUGACACUUUCUGCUGGGGGAUUGGAAGUGGUUGUGUAGCUGACACUUUCUGCUGGGGGAUUGGAAGUGGUUGUGUAGCUGACACCUUCUGCUGGGGGAUUGGAAGUGGUUGUGAUGCUGACAGCUUGCUGCUCCGUCAAAACCCAAAGUCCACA